GCCUGGGUGGCUCAGUCGGUUGAGCGUCUGACUUCAGCUCAGGUCAUGAUCUCGCAGUCUAUGAGUUCGAGCCUCGCAUUGGGCU
Molecule: transfer RNA, 85 nt
Filed under: Felis catus (domestic cat)
Lineage: Eukaryota; Metazoa; Chordata; Mammalia; Carnivora; Felidae
Rfam family: tRNA
About the family: Transfer RNA (tRNA) molecules are approximately 80 nucleotides in length. Their secondary structure includes four short double-helical elements and three loops (D, anti-codon, and T loops).
Source: Rfam by way of RNAcentral